AGCUCCGAAAGCCACGGCUCAAGGCCACAACCUCCAAGUAGACAUCGUUUACGGCGUGGACUACCAGGGUAUCUAAUCCUGUUUACUCCCCACGCUUUCGCAUCUGAGUGUCAGUAUCUGUCCAGGGGGCCGCCUUCGCCACCGGUAUUCCUUCAGAUCUCUACGCAUUUCACCGCUACACCUGAAAUUCUACCCCCCUCUACAGUACUCUAGUCUGCCAGUUUCAAAUGCAAUUCCGAGGUUGAGCCCCGGGCUUUCACAUCUGACUUAACAAACCACCUGCAUGCGCUUUACGCCCAGUAAUUCCGAUUAACGCUCGCACCCUCCGUAUUACCGCGGCUGCUGGCACGGAGUUAGCCGGUGCUUCUUCUGCAGCUAACGUCAAAUGAGGCCGCUAUUAACGACUCCACCUUCCUCACUGCUGAAAGUACUUUACAACCCGAAGGCCUUCUUCAUACACGCGGCAUGGCUGCAUCAGGCUUGCGCCCAUUGUGCAAUAUUCCCCAC
This 507-nucleotide ribosomal RNA is filed under the name uncultured Vibrio sp. RNAcentral describes it as "partial 16S ribosomal RNA". The record is from RNAcentral. Lineage: Bacteria; Pseudomonadati; Pseudomonadota; Gammaproteobacteria; Vibrionales; Vibrionaceae.